Molecule: ribosomal RNA, 253 nt
Filed under: uncultured bacterium
Lineage: Bacteria
Description: partial 16S ribosomal RNA
Rfam family: Bacterial small subunit ribosomal RNA
Source: RNAcentral
UACGGGGGGUGCAAGCGUUGUUCGGAAUCAUUGGGCGUAAAGGGCGUGUAGGCGGCUUGGUAAGUCAGAUGUGAAAGCCCUGGGCUUAACCCAGGAAGUGCAUUUGAAACUGCCAGGCUUGAGUAGGGAAGAGGAAGGUGGAAUUCCUGGUGUAGAGGUGAAAUUCGUAGAUAUCAGGAGGAACACCGGUGGCGAAGGCGACCUUCUGGUCCUAUACUGACGCUGAGACGCGAAAGCAUGGGUAGCAAACAGG